CCCUAAAAAGCUCCGCAAGCA
This 21-nucleotide transfer RNA is filed under the name Pseudaphritis urvillii (congolli). RNAcentral describes it as "partial tRNA-Phe". The record is from RNAcentral. Lineage: Eukaryota; Metazoa; Chordata; Actinopteri; Perciformes; Pseudaphritidae.